RNAcentral lists this ribosomal RNA (388 nucleotides) under Anaplasma marginale. Its description in RNAcentral is "bacterial SSU rRNA". It matches the Rfam family "Bacterial small subunit ribosomal RNA", at positions 40 to 438 of the family's 1533-position model. Lineage: Bacteria; Pseudomonadati; Pseudomonadota; Alphaproteobacteria; Rickettsiales; Anaplasmataceae. The record is from RNAcentral.
CGGCAAGCUUAACACAUGCAAGUCGAACGGACCGUAUACGCAGCUUGCUGCGUGUAUGGUUAGUGGCAGACGGGUGAGUAAUGCAUAGGAAUCUACCUAGUAGUAUGGGAUAGCCACUAGAAAUGGUGGGUAAUACUGUAUAAUCCCUGCGGGGGAAAGAUUUAUCGCUAUUAGAUGAGCCUAUGUCAGAUUAGCUAGUUGGUGGGGUAAUGGCCUACCAAGGCGGUGAUCUGUAGCUGGUCUGAGAGGAUGAUCAGCCACACUGGAACUGAGACACGGUCCAGACUCCUACGGGAGGCAGCAGUGGGGAAUAUUGGACAAUGGGCGCAAGCCUGAUCCAGCUAUGCCGCGUGAGUGAGGAAGGCCUUAGGGUUGUAAAACUCUUUCA